Long non-coding RNA from Cydia pomonella (codling moth), 1906 nucleotides. RefSeq lists it as uncharacterized. The transcript has 2 exons. NCBI's taxonomy places the organism in Eukaryota, Metazoa, Arthropoda, Insecta, Lepidoptera, Tortricidae. The record is from RefSeq and is a predicted model, not a curated record.
UAUUUAAACACAAUUUUAUUUUCUGGUAGCGCGAUAGUUACUUACUCCUGAAAUGAAACUUUAUAAACGUAGACUAUAGCGUAUAAUGAAUUUAAACUACAUCCCGACGUUUUGAACCGGCUUCAUUUCUUCUUACGCUGACAUCGGUCGCCGACGUCGCUCGAGCGUCAAGCGUCCCGUCGGUCGCGUAUGAUUAAAAAAACCGGAAAAGUGCGAGUCGGACUCGCCCACAAAGGGUUCCGUACUUUUUAGUUUUUUUUUUUUUUUUGGAUUUUAUGGCCUGGUUACGAGACCUUUAAGCCAAGCCUUAUAUUGUAUUACACAGCACUACGAUUGUGAUAAGCCAUAUUAAAGUUUUAACACUGUAUUUUUAAUGUACCUACUUGUAAAUUGGAUAAUAUGCACCAAUGUCUUUUAGUAGAUUACUAAGCGGCGGCGGGCGGGAAGAAAAAUCACUGAUGUUUUUAUAUACUUCACUCAGUUCACUGGCAAGCACUAAUCUGUCAAUAAGGAACUUCUGACAUUUAAAUAAUAGGUGGUUAACGGUUCCUUCUUCAGCUUCACAGAAAGUACACAAGUUAUUCUGUAUCAAUCCCAGUCUGGCAAGGUGUGAUGGUGCAGCAUUGUGUCCGUAGCGCAACCGGUUUAUCGUGGUAAUAAAAUCCCGACUGGCUUUUUUCAGGUUAUUAUACCAUGGCGUUCUUGGCAGGCUUUCUUGUAUGCUUCCGUACCAUUUUCCUUUUCCUAAGUCUUGAUCCUUGUUCAACAUUUGUUCCCAUAACAUUCUUGCAGAUAGAUUUAUACAGGAUAAGUAAUCAGACAUAGGAACAUACAUAGAUUCACUAACAUUAAGCGUGUUUAUACCUUCAAAAGCUACUUUGUCUACUAUUUCAUUACCAGUGAUUCCUUUGUGAAAAGGAACCCACAUAAAUGAAACGUCAAGUUCUUUAAGGCGAUAUUUAUAUAAUAGUUCUUUUAUACCAUAUAAAAUAAAAUUGGUUUUAAAAUGAAUUUUAAGAAGUUUUAAGCCCUGAAGCACACUUAACGAAUCACUUACAAUUAGAAAAUAUUUACAAUUAUUUACAUUGCCAAUUCACAGUAGGGCCUGAUAAACUGCAUAAGCCUCAGCAGUAAAUAUAGUACAUACAUUCUGCAGAAGAAAGCUCUGAGAAAAUUUAGAUUGUGGAUCAUAAAUUGCACUACGUACAUAAUCCACACCUUUGCUACCAUCAGUAUAAAUAGUGUAAUAAUUAUUAUCGGAAAGGAAUUGUAACAUGUCUACAUUACUAGUAACCGAAUCAAUUAUUUUAAAUGGUUGCAUAAUGCUUUUGUAAUGGGAGGAAUAACAUGGCCAAGGAUGCCGCUUUCUAAUUUUACUAUAUUUAUUUUCAAUUUCCAGAAAAAUUUGAAACAAUAUUGGAGAGUUAUUGCCAAGAAGGAGACCCUCUCCAGUUGCCAGAGGACCGGACACAUUGACUCGGUGAGAUCAGAGAUGAGUGAAAUAAAACUAUCAGCGCAACUUCGCCCUCGACGAAAGCCAUACUGCAAAUAUGGAAUGAUACCACUAGCCUCUACAAACCAAUCUAAACGGACUUUGAUCAUGUUUUCAAAUAACUUACCAAGACAAGAGGACAAGGAAAUUGGGCGAUAGGAACUAGCCUGUUCUGGGGAUUUAUCUGGUUUUAGUAUUGGAAUGACACACUGUGAUUUCCAUGAUUCAGGAAUGAUUAAAUUAAGCCAUAAUAUAUUAAGCACAUCAAGAAAUAACUUCUGAGCAGAAAAAUGAAGCUCUUUGAUUACAAUAUAGGGAAAAUUAUCUAAACCUGGACUUGUGUUACGUCUGGAGCGUAGACUAGUUAUGAAUUCAUUCCACGUAAAUGGUUCCAUUAAAAAAUUUGAAUCGCUA